UAGGGAAUCCUCCACAAUGGACGCAAGUCUGAUGGAGCAACGCCGCGUGAGUGAAGAAGGUCUUCGGAUCGUAAAACUCUGUUGUUAGAGAAGAACACGAGUGAGAGUAACUGUUCAUUCGAUGACGGUAUCUAACCAGCAAGUCACGGCUAACUACGUGCCAA
Molecule: ribosomal RNA, 164 nt
Filed under: uncultured bacterium
Lineage: Bacteria
Description: partial 16S rRNA
Rfam family: Bacterial small subunit ribosomal RNA
Source: RNAcentral